UAAAUUAAAAUCUAUUAAUAGUAAUUAUCACGAAGUUGGAGGAGCUAGUUAAUAUAUAUUUGUAGAUAACACGAUGUUGCAAAAUUAAGAAAAUUAUAACUAGGGGUGAUAGGCUUAUCACUUUCAACGAUAACUUGAUGACCAAGAAAUGUACUAGUACGAAGACACCCUUGAAGUGAUAAGGUUUCAAGGCCGAACAAAUUAGGAUUUCCCUUAUGUAUCUUAUUUAACCAUAAAUACAAUUGGUACUUAAUAUAAAUUUACUGUAUUUGUUAUAAUUAUUGGUUUAUUGAUGAAUUGGCUAUAAUAUUAAUAAUGUUUAUAUUAGUAACAAAUAAUUAUUAAUAAUGAACUCGGCAAAAAACCUUUCAACUGUUUAUCAAAAACAUAGCUAUAUGAUUAAAUAUAUAGUAUUUUCUGCUCCAUGAGUUUUAAAUAGCCGCAGUACCCUGACUGUGCUAAGGUAGCGCAAUCAAUUGUCUCUUAAUUAGAGUCCUGUAUGAAAGAAAUUAUGGAGGGUUCCUUUCUCAUUAAUAAUUUAUGAAUUUACUAAAGAAGUGCAAAUUCUUCUAAAUAAAUAAAAGACGAGAAGACCCUAGAAAUUUUAGAGAAUUAACUUUUUGUUGGGGCAACAGAGUAGUAAUUAAUCUACUAGAACAACACGAAAUAUUUAUUUAGGAAGAUUAAAUUACUCUAGGGAUAACAGCAUAAUUUAAAAUAGUUUGUGACCUCGAUGUUGGAUUAGGGAAUUAACAUUCAGAAG
Molecule: ribosomal RNA, 763 nt
Filed under: Austrochloritis brevipila
Lineage: Eukaryota; Metazoa; Mollusca; Gastropoda; Stylommatophora; Camaenidae
Description: partial large subunit ribosomal RNA
Source: RNAcentral